Molecule: ribosomal RNA, 393 nt
Filed under: uncultured bacterium
Lineage: Bacteria
Description: partial 16S ribosomal RNA
Rfam family: Bacterial small subunit ribosomal RNA
Source: RNAcentral
AUACGGAGGAUCCGAGCGUUAUCCGGAUAUAUUGGGUUUAAAGGGAGCGUAGGCGGACGCUUAAGUCAGUUGUGAAAGUUUGCGGCUCAACCGUAAAAUUGCAGUUGAUACUGGGUGUCUUGAGUACAGUAGAGGCAGGCGGAAUUCGUGGGGUAGCGGUGAAAUGCUUAGAUAUCACGAAGAACUCCGAUUGCGAAGGCAGCCUGCUGGACUGUAACUGACGCUGAUGCUCGAAAGUGUGGGUAUCAAACAGGAUUAGAUACCCUGGUAGUCCACACAGUAAACGAUGAAUACUCGCUGUUUGCGAUAUACAGUAAGCGGCCAAGCGAAAGCGUUAAGUAUUCCACCUGGGGAGUACGCCGGCAACGGUGAAACUCAAAGGAAUUGACGGGG